This is a long non-coding RNA of Neofelis nebulosa (Clouded leopard), 236 nucleotides long. RefSeq lists it as uncharacterized. The record is from RefSeq and is a predicted model, not a curated record. The transcript has 3 exons. NCBI's taxonomy places the organism in Eukaryota, Metazoa, Chordata, Mammalia, Carnivora, Felidae.
CUGCAAUGCCCACCACACCCUCUGCCGGCCACCCUUGCCUAUCAGUCUGGUGCCGAGAUUUGGGGGACAGAUACUCAAAGGUCGCGAUCUCACGGUUCGUCAGCUGAAGCCCGGCAUCAGGCUCUGUGCUGACACGGGAGCCUGCUUGGGAUUCUCUCCCUCUCUCUGUCCCUCCCCUGCUCACACUGUCUCUGUGUCUCUCUAAAUAAAUAAACAAACGAACUUUAAAAAAUCAA